This 68-nucleotide transfer RNA is filed under the name Endochironomus albipennis. RNAcentral's name for it is "tRNA-Ile". The record is from RNAcentral. Lineage: Eukaryota; Metazoa; Arthropoda; Insecta; Diptera; Chironomidae.
AAUGAAUUGCCUGAUAAAAAGGAAUACCUUGAUAGGGUAUAUUAUAUAAUUUAAAAUUAUAUUCAUUA